This is a long non-coding RNA of Tigriopus californicus, 467 nucleotides long. RefSeq lists it as uncharacterized. Lineage: Eukaryota; Metazoa; Arthropoda; Copepoda; Harpacticoida; Harpacticidae. The transcript has 2 exons. The record is from RefSeq and is a predicted model, not a curated record.
AGUUAGUGGUUAAACCACUAAAAAAUCCACGGCCAAAGACACAAUUUUAAAGGUCAUGGAGGGUUCCUCGUAUUAAAAACAUGAAUCGCUUUGUUGACAAAUAGAUUCCAAAGAGCGUAGAAAUUACUUCUACUUUUCCUGUGCGUAUCCCCCCAGUUUGUUGAGAAAGUGUCUAAAAGACGGUGUACUAAUCUAGAAGAUGUCUGACCAUUCGUUACACGCUCCUCAUUACUUUCCAGGUAAGUUAAUACCUUCUGUCGUGGAAUUUUUGUAAGUAAUUGCUUUUAGAUGAUUCGGAAUGGAACUCUUGGAUGUUCGCCAUGAUUGGUAUUGGAUGCAUCUUCAUUGCCUUUGUUGCAGUCUCAAUAUUUUUAAUGUGCCAACAACCAAGAUCCGCCGAACGCCAAGUCCUAACCAAUGGAUGAAAUAAUACAUAAAGACAUCUGAAAUACAUCAUUAUCAAAGCA